Molecule: long non-coding RNA, 2453 nt
Filed under: Homo sapiens (human)
Lineage: Eukaryota; Metazoa; Chordata; Mammalia; Primates; Hominidae
Description: HSALNT0407179
Source: RNAcentral
CUCUUUCCUGCCACCAUGUAAGAUGUGACUUUGCUCCCCAUUCACCUUCAGCCAUGAUUGUGAGACCUCCCCAGCCAUGUGGAACUGUAGUUUUGUUUCACUCUAAUGCUUCCCUUAACGUGCUUAGCCAGAGUACUUUGGUUAUAAACCGGAGUACUUUGUCUUCAACAAGAAGGGACUGUCUCAGAGACCCAGGAAAAGGUCUAUGCCAGGCAGUAUGGGGCACAGACUUCUGAGGAAUUGUUAAGAUAAUAUUGACAACAUACCAUGGACUGAGUCAAGCUAUCCAGUAAUCUAGUGAAGAAGCUGAUGAGUUCAUGAGACUGCCGGUUCAAACUCAGCAUGAUUUUAUCGUCUUUCAAGAAGGAGAGAAUGUAAAUAAAUUAGCUAACUUUGGAAUCUUGCAUUCUCAUUUGUUUAGUAGUUAUUUAAAUUCAUUAAAUUGCUUCAUAUAAGUAACCAUUAUUCUUGACGGUAAAAUUAAGUUUUUCUGUGCCUGGCUUAUUUCACUUAGCAUAAUGUCUUCCUUGGUCAUCCAUGUUAUUACAAAUGGUAAGAUGUUUUUCUUUUGCGAGACUGAUCUUAUUUUCUCAAGAUGACUGACUGGAAACAUCAGAUGCCAGUUCUCAGAAAGAUCAAAGUUACAACUGAAUGGUCAUGAUGUGAACAGAAAGCUAAAGGAAGAGAGCCGGGACUGUUGCAGAGCCCACAGGAAAAAGCUGGGACACAGAAAAGGAAGGUAGCAAGAGUCUGGCAGAGAUUGACCUCCGAGGAAUUUGAAGUCCCACAGAGGGAAUGCAGCAGAGGCUUUCUCCACUGCAGACUGUCACGAAUGCACUUGAAGACAGCCUUUCCAGUGCUAUUCACAGAAACUGCACCCCCGUUGAAAGUGAGCUUGUACCCCACUGGCAUGCAUGAUGGGCAGGGCCCAAUCUCCCCCUCCGUACAUAGAGGAGCAGCAUCGCAGCAACAGAAGGCAGUCAAGCCAUGAAGCCUGGUCUGGACUGGAAGAAGAAGCAUUGUCCUGGGGUCAUUUCAGUCCUGGGGUCAUUUCAAAAUAUUCUUCUGCCAGAAUAUUUUCUCUGACCUCAGUAACACUGUGGCCAGAGUCAAAGGACACUGUCUAUAUGAACUGAAGGUCAUGAGCUCUGUGACAGGGGCACAACAGGGAAGCAAAUCACAUUCCUCCCUGCCCAGGACUAGAGACAGAUGUAACCCCCCAACUUCUUCCCCCAAGACCUCAGUACAUCCCAACACAACUCUCCCUGCCUGCCCCCAUCAGGAUGGGUUGCCUCCACUUAUCAAAGGGCUACCAAAUGUUACUCUUAAGCGCCACCUACUGGAAUGGAGACUGCUGCAUCACUGAAUAAAAAUCCCUGCUGUCCGAAGAGCACAGGGUUAGUGCAUGAGAUAAGCUUCCUGAGACCGCUGCAUUCCCAGUCACGCAGGGCAUAGUGUAUUGGCUCAUAUGCCCAACACAUUGCUAAGGCAAGCAGCAUUUGAGAAAACCACCACACAUGAUUCCAUAUCUUUGUUACUGUGAAUGUGCUGCAAUGAACAUGGGAAUGCAGAUAACGCAUCAAAACACUGGUUUCACUUCUUUUGGAUAUAUACCCAGCAAUGAGGUUGCUGGAUCAUAUUUUUAAUUUUCUGGGGAACCUCCAUGCUGUUUUUUUAUAACGACUUUACCCAUUUACAUUCCCACCAAUAGUGAACAAGUGUUUUCUUUUCUCCACGUCUCCACCAACACUUAUUAUCUUUUGCUUUUUUGAUAAAAUACACUCUAAUACGUAUGAGGUGAUAUCUCAUUGCGGUUUUAAUUUACAUUUCCCUGAUGGUUAGUGAUGUUGAGAAUUUUUUCAUAUCUGCAUUGGCCAUUUGUAUGUCUUCUUUUAAGAAAUAUCUAAGUCUUUUGUCCAUUUUUAAUUCUGUUAUUUAUUUUCUUGCUAUUGAUUUGUUUAAGUUCCUUAUAGAUUUUGGAUAUUAACCCCUACCAGAUGUAGCAAACUGAAUUCAAUGGCACAUUAAAAGGAUGGUUCACUAUGAUCAGGUGGGAUUCAAGAAUGGAUCACCAUAUGCAAAUCAAUAAAUGUGAUACACCCCAUUAACAGAAUGAAGAACAAAAACCAUAUGAUCAUCUCAAUAGAUGUAGAAAUGCAUUUGACAAAAUUCAACAUUUUUUAUGAUAAAAACUCUCAACAAAUUAGUUAUAGAAGCAAUGUACCUCAACACCAUAAAGGUCGUGUAUCACAAGCCCACAUAACAUAAUAUGCAAUGGUGAAAAGUUAAAGCUUUUCCUCUAAGAUCAGGCACAGUAUAAGCAUGCCCAAUCUUGCCGUUUCUAUUCAACAUAAUAAUGGAAAUCCUAGCCAAAGUGAUUAGGAAAGAGAAACAAUAAAAAACAUCCAACUCAUAGAUAAGGGAGUUAAAUUGUUUCUGUUUACAGACAAAAU